Molecule: ribosomal RNA, 496 nt
Filed under: uncultured bacterium
Lineage: Bacteria
Description: partial 16S ribosomal RNA
Rfam family: Bacterial small subunit ribosomal RNA
Source: RNAcentral
GAUGAACGCUGGCGGCGUGCCUAAUACAUGCAAGUCGAGCGAACGGACGAGAAGCUUGCUUCUCUGAUGUUAGCGGCGGACGGGUGAGUAACACGUGGAUAACCUACCUAUAAGACUGGGAUAACUUCGGGAAACCGGAGCUAAUACCGGAUAAUAUUUUGAACCGCAUGGUUCUAAAGUGAAAGACGGUCUUGCUGUCACUUAUAGAUGGAUCCGCGCUGCAUUAGCUAGUUGGUAAGGUAACGGCUUACCAAGGCAACGAUGCAUAGCCGACCUGAGAGGGUGAUCGGCCACACUGGAACUGAGACACGGUCCAGACUCCUACGGGAGGCAGCAGUAGGGAAUCUUCCGCAAUGGGCGAAAGCCUGACGGAGCAACGCCGCGUGAGUGAUGAAGGUCUUCGGAUCGUAAAACUCUGUUAUUAGUGAAGAACAUAUGUGUAAGUAACUGUGCACAUCUUGACGGUACCUAAUCAGAAAGCCACGGCUAACUACGU